GUGCUUGCUUUGGCAGCACAUAUACUAAAAUUGGAACCCUACCAAGAAGAUUAGCAUGCCCCCUGCACAAGGAUAACAGCUGGAUGCUGACAGGAAAAGAGGAGUUUU
Molecule: small nuclear RNA, 108 nt
Organism: Pongo abelii (Sumatran orangutan)
Lineage: Eukaryota; Metazoa; Chordata; Mammalia; Primates; Hominidae
Source: Ensembl